GAUGAACGCUGGCGGCGUGCCUAAUACAUGCCAGUCGAGCGAACAGACGAGGAGCUUGCUCCUCUGACGUUAGCGGCGGACGGGUGAGUAACACGUGGAUAACCUACCUAUAAGACUGGGAUAACUUCGGGAAACCGGAGCUAAUACCGGAUAAUAUAUUGAACCGCAUGGUUCAAUAGUGAAAGACGGUUUUGCUGUCACUUAUAGAUGGAUCCGCGCCGCAUUAGCUAGUUGGUAAGGUAACGGCUUACCAAGGCAACGAUGCGUAGCCGACCUGAGAGGGUGAUCGGCCAAACUGGAACUGAGACACGGUCCAGACUCCUACGGGAGGCAGCAGUAGGGAAUCUUCCGCAAUGGGCGAAAGCCUGACGGAGCAACGCCGCGUGAGUGAUGAAGGUCUUCGGAUCGUAAAACUCUGUUAUUAGGGAAGAACAAAUGUGUAAGUAACUAUGCACGUCUUGACGGUACCUAAUCAGAAAGCCACGGCUAACUACGUG
Molecule: ribosomal RNA, 497 nt
Filed under: uncultured bacterium
Lineage: Bacteria
Description: partial 16S ribosomal RNA
Rfam family: Bacterial small subunit ribosomal RNA
Source: RNAcentral